AGAGUUUGAUUAUGGCUCAGGAUGAACGUUGGCGGCGUGCCUAAUACCUGCAAGUCGAACGAAGAGCUCAAAGUAGCAAUACUUUGAUUACUCUUAGUGGCGAACGGGUGAGUAACGCGUUGGUGACCUGCCCCAAAGAGAGGGAUAACAGCCCGAAAGGGUUGCUAAUACCUCAUGUGAUCAUUUGCUUUAGAAACUUAUGAUUAAAGGAGCUUUGCUUCGCUUUGGGAGGGACCUGCGUCCCAUCAGCUAGUUGGUAGGGUAAUGGCCUACCAAGGCUAUGACGGGUAGGGGACCUGAGAGGGUGGCCCCCCACAAUGGAACUGAAGCACGGUCCAUACACCUACGGGUGGCAGCAGUAGGGAAUAUUGGUAAUCUGCGAAAGCGGGAACCAGCAACGCCGCGUGCGCGAUGACGGCCUUCGGGUUGUAAAGCGCUUUUCAAGAGGAAGAGGAAGGACUGUACUCUUGGAAUAAGUCUCGGCUAACUACGUGCCAGCAGCCGCGGUAACACGUAGGAGGCUAACGUUAUCCGGAUUUACUGGGCGUAAAGCGCGUGCAGGCUGUUCAAUAAGUUAGGCGUGAAAGCUCCCGGCUCAACUGGGAGAGGUCGUUUAAUACUGUUGGACUAGAGGAUGGUAGAGGGAGGUGGAAUUCCGGGUGUAGUGGUGAAAUGCGCAGAUAUCCCGGAGGAACACCAGUGGCGAAAGCGGCCUCCUGGACCAUUCCUGACGCUCAGACGCGAAAGCUAGGGUAGCGAACGGGAUUAGAUACCCUGGUAGUC
Molecule: ribosomal RNA, 783 nt
Filed under: uncultured Bellilinea sp.
Lineage: Bacteria; Bacillati; Chloroflexota; Anaerolineae; Anaerolineales; Anaerolineaceae
Description: bacterial SSU rRNA
Rfam family: Bacterial small subunit ribosomal RNA
Source: RNAcentral